GAGACGGAAGUUCGUGUCUCUCCACUCCCAUUGGCUUGGAUGUUUAAGCAUCUAGCCCCUCUCUUCCUUUGCUGAACCAUCCUGUCUCAAGCGGACCUAUUGCUUUCCCUGUAAAAUGCCUCUCUCCAAAUUCACCCCCUCUCCAUGGACACUUUCUCUCGUGUUUCUCCCCUCUGCUCUCCUAGGAGUAAAGUCCUGGAAGCUUCCAAUUCUCAUGGAAACGAAGUGCUUCACUGCAGGCUAAGUGCUCAGGCCAGCCUCAUAUCAUCAAGCAUUUUGAGGGUUGCAAGGAGGCCUUCCCUUUUCAAAAAAGUAUGCUCUCCCUGAGUUCUGCUAUUAGAUUCAUUGGGGGCCUUGAAAGACUCCCAGUGGGAUUGUGGGUGCCAUAUCCUCUUAGCCCGUGCAAAGGGCUCUCUCCCCUCUUCAAAAUCCUAGCAUUCUACGUGAUUUCUCUGGCACUUUUCAUCGGUGACUUGCUCUGUGACCUUGGGCAGGUGACCUUUCUUCUCUGGACCACAGCUUCCCUUUUUGUAGAAUGACUGAAAGAAGAGAAACCCUCACCUGAAGCAGGAAAAUCUGGCUAGGCCCAAGGACGAGCUCUGACUGGAAGGACGGUAGAAGAGCAAAGUCUGAACUAUCUUUCAUUCUAUUCCAGCUCUGACCACAGAGGGCCAAACCACCUCGAGAUGCAGCUCUCACCUUUGUGUGCUGCUUCUCUCCCUACUCACGUGUGUUAGAGAUGAUGCAUGCCUCAUGUUCUUUUUGGUUCCCGAUCACUUGCCUGCCAUUGUCCAGAGCAGGAAAUGUAAUGAGUAAUUGAUUUCAUCUUGUACCCAACUUACUUUUGAUAUCAUUCAAGGUGCCUCUAAAGAAGGAUACAGUCUGGGAUCAGUUUAAAUGGAAUCCAUCUGAAAGAACCAGAAGGAAUGAUGGUUUCAGACAUGGAGAAUGUUCUGCUUCUAUUUUAGCAAUAAAUUUGACCUUUGUUUUUCUGGCAGCCGAGGCAUAAGGAGUAACAUGAAUGGACUAUUUAUGCUUGCUGGACAAAUAGUAGGCUCAAUAAAUAUUUUUUCAUUGACUCCCAACCAACCUUAGUUGGGAAGGCAAAAUACUGAUAGAGAAGUCCCAGAAGAAUGCAGCACAGGGUGGGUGGCUAGAAAGGUUUUUGGCGAAGGGAGAAUCCUAAAACAAGCUUCAAACUCCCCUGUCUCAACCCGUUGCCAAGGCUAGGCCAUUCUGAGAAAUUCCCAUGAUACAUGCAGGCCACCAGCAUGGCUCCAGGAGGUGAGGCAUGCCCAGUCGUUCCCUGUAGCAGUUCCAUUCCAGGAUGGAAGGUCCAUCUUGAUCUGUAGGCCAGAUAUUUCUUUGAGGAAAAUGUAGCAUUGUCUCUUUUACCCAAUCACAUACCUUUGGAAGGAAAAAAAGGCAACCCUCUACCUGUAGAUCCUUAAGCCUGAGCCUUAACCAGCUGCAGAGCUGGCUCAGAGAACCCUUCGUUACAUAAAGCUUCUGCCCCUGACUGAGGGAUGAACACAGCACCUCCUCACCGGCAGUUAGCUGCUGCCCCUCAGAUUCCCAAAGCCUGCCCUUGGGAUUCAGGGUCAGGCCCAGGCUCAGCCCCAAUUGCCCUUGUGUGAGAGAUUACUCAGUUUCAGAUCUCUGAAAUUCUCUGGGUUUCCCGGUGGAUGGGGAGCUCUCUUCAUUCUUGCUCUUCCUCAGCUUCCACGUUCCUUCACAACGGCCACUUUAAAAAGUCUUUUCUCUGCUGCUUCUUUCCCAGAUUCAGGCUUUUCCUACUACAGCCUCCUCAAAGUUAUUUCUGCUUGCUCCAGUAGGGGAGCUAGGCAGCUGCUCUGAGUUUUGCCGUCUGGGCUUAGAACAGCUUGAAGUUAGCACAAAGGCGAAUGAAGCUUUAAAUCUCCAGCACUUAACAGCUUCUCUGCAGCCUCAGAGGAUCCUCAAACAACGCUGCAGCCUAGGGAGAAAAGGAAAUGUGAUAUUCAUUGAGAUUCCUCAUGUCCCAGCCCUCCAGGUCACCUAAGGAUGGGAGCUGGUCAUCAGAGGAACCAAUCCUGCGAUCAGAGGGCUGGAAUUUUCAGUCCCAUCGCCAGCCACCCCCCCCCCCCCCCAACCAACAUCUUCCAGGAGGAGAGAGGGACUGGAGAUCGAGUUCAGUCACCAAUGGCCAAUGAUUUAAUCAAUCGUGCCUAUGUAACGAAGCCUCCAUAAAAACCCAAAAGAUGGGGUUCACAGAGCUUCUGGGUUGAUGAACAUGUGGAGAUGUGGGGAGAGUGGCGGGCCCAGAGAGAGCAUGGAAGCUCCACGACCUUUCCCACAUGCCUUGCUCUAUACAUCUCUUCCAUUCGGCUGUUCCUGAGUUAUAUCCUUUAUAAUAAACUGGUAAUCUAGGGAGAACCGAGUGCCCAGCCAACAGCCAGCACCAACCACUGCACCUGGGACUGAGUCCAUCUUGCCCUUCCAGCUCUGUUGACCUCCCAGGGGACUGCAGCAACAGGACUGAGCCCAGGUGAGCCCAGCAGAGGAAACGCCCAGCUGAUCCACGAAUCAUGAGGCAUAAUCAAUUGUUUUACAAUACUAAAAUUUAUAUGUAAUCAAAUAAAAAUAUAUGUUGGUGAAGUGAUAUUGCAAAAGGUUAACAAUUGUAUUUAAAUGGUGGAUAUAUGAUUAUUGUGCUAUUUCUAUUUUCUGUGUGUUUGAAAAAUUUAAAAUGAAAAGUUAAAAUAGGCAAAAA
This 2752-nucleotide long non-coding RNA is filed under the name Equus caballus (horse). RNAcentral's name for it is "lncRNA (ENSECAG00000041349.2)". Lineage: Eukaryota; Metazoa; Chordata; Mammalia; Perissodactyla; Equidae. The record is from RNAcentral.